GCGGCGGUGCCGGCUAUCGAGCGGCGACAGGCGCACUUCACAAUCGAUGCGACCCAGGUGCCCUCACUGGUGCGGCCGGCCGGGUUCGAACCCGCUCCGCCGCA
Molecule: transfer RNA, 104 nt
Filed under: Devosia sp.
Lineage: Bacteria; Pseudomonadati; Pseudomonadota; Alphaproteobacteria; Hyphomicrobiales; Devosiaceae
Description: tRNA-OTHER
Source: RNAcentral